UACAUAUACAUUGUUGACAAAGCAACACUACCUACUGAACUUCGCUCAGAAUCGUUUUUUCGUUAGCAAAUGGUUAAUUAUUGCGUACAGAUAUAUAUUCAAUUUUACCUCUACUAUCUUCCCAACUUCUUACCUAUAACAGUGGUCAACCCACGUGCGAAGUAUGUCCGUUUUUCUUUUUAUAACUUACAAAUAUUUUAAAAUCAAAAGGAUUGCAUAAUAUUUUUUACAACACAAACUCAAAAAUAGAUCGACUAGCAAAAAUAUCAAUAAAUAAUGAAUGAAAAAUUGUUGGCUGUUAAUGGUAAGAUCUGAACAAAAACCUAUGAGUGAGACUUCAUACAGUCACCUUAUCACAGUUAUUUAUUCAGAUGUUAAACUCACAAAGGGGACAUUGUCCCUUUUUUGCACUAAGCACUAACUUAAGCUGUUUAUAUUUCCAUUACGGUUUGUUGGACUAGUCCCAUUUUUACAUAAAAUAAAUACCUAUUUAAAGCAAACAAAUAUAAAUCCGGUAAUAACUCAAUUUCAUUAGGAAUUGGUCAUGUCCCC
Non-coding RNA from Cinara cedri, 552 nucleotides. The record is from the annotation of a GenBank genome assembly. Lineage: Eukaryota; Metazoa; Arthropoda; Insecta; Hemiptera; Aphididae.